AGUUGGCAGAGCAACCGGUGGGACUUUUAAUCGGUAGGUCGCAGGUUCGAAUCCUGCACGGCCCACCA
This 68-nucleotide transfer RNA is filed under the name Thermus phage phiFa. RNAcentral describes it as "tRNA-Lys". It matches the Rfam family "tRNA", at positions 14 to 71 of the family's 71-position model. Rfam says of the family: Transfer RNA (tRNA) molecules are approximately 80 nucleotides in length. The record is from RNAcentral. Lineage: Duplodnaviria; Heunggongvirae; Uroviricota; Caudoviricetes.